This 389-nucleotide ribosomal RNA is filed under the name uncultured eukaryote. RNAcentral's name for it is "SSU rRNA". It matches the Rfam family "Eukaryotic small subunit ribosomal RNA", at positions 587 to 973 of the family's 1831-position model. The record is from RNAcentral.
AGCUCCAAUAGCGUAUAUUAAAGUUGUUGCAGUUAAAAAGCUCGUAGUUGGAUUUCUGGUACGCCAUGCUCGGUCUGCCACCUUUCGGUGGUAAGUACAGAUGCGCGGCUACCAUCCUUCUAGAGAACGGGUUUACCCUUCAUUGGGCCGAGCUCGCGAUCUAGAUCUUUUACUUUGAAAAAAUUAGAGUGUUUAAAGCAGGCUUUUGCUAUGAAUACAUUAGCAUGGAAUAAUAAUUUAGGACUUUGGUUCUAUUUUGUUGGUUUCUAGGACUGAAGUAAUGAUUGAUAGGGAUAGUUGGGGGUGCUAGUAUUCAGCGGCCAGAGGUGAAAUUCUUGGAUUCGCUGAAGACUAACUUAUGCGAAAGCAUUCACCAAGGAUGUCUUCUU